AGUGAACGCUGGCGGUAGGCCUAACACAUGCGAGUCGAACGGCAGCACAGGAGAGCUUGCUCUCUGGGUGGCGAGUGGCGGACGGGUGAGGAAUACAUCGGAAUCUACUUUUUCGUGGGGGAUAACGUAGGGAAACUUACGCUAAUACCGCAUACGACCUACGGGUGAAAGCAGGGGAUCUUCGGACCUUGCGCGAUUGAAUGAGCCGAUGUCGGAUUAGCUAGUUGGCGGGGUAAAGGCCCACCAAGGCGACGAUCCGUAGCUGGUCUGAGAGGAUGAUCAGCCACACUGGAACUGAGACACGGUCCAGACUCCUACGGGAGGCAGCAGUGGGGAAUAUUGGACAAUGGGCGCAAGCCUGAUCCAGCCAUACCGCGUGGGUGAAGAAGGCCUUCGGGUUGUAAAGCCCUUUUGUUGGGAAAGAAAUCCAGCUGGUUAAUACCCGGUUGGGAUGACGGUACUCAAAGAAUAAGCACCGGCUAACUUCGUGCCAGCAGCCGCCGUAA
RNAcentral lists this ribosomal RNA (506 nucleotides) under uncultured bacterium. RNAcentral's name for it is "partial 16S ribosomal RNA". It matches the Rfam family "Bacterial small subunit ribosomal RNA", at positions 29 to 523 of the family's 1533-position model. The record is from RNAcentral.